GGAUUGUAGCCUGAAACUCGGCUACAUGAAUAAGGAAUUACUAGUAAUCGUGAAUCAGCGCGUCACGGUGAAUUUUACAUCAGAUAGGUACUUACUACUCGUCAGGCACUGAAAUUAGUAUGCGCAAUAAGUUUGGCGAAUUAUUGUUUUUUUUUUAAUAAAAAAAUAUUUAAUAUUACAAUAGCUAGUUUUCGUAUGCGUGACUUUAAUUGGUGUUAAGUCGA
RNAcentral lists this non-coding RNA (224 nucleotides) under Morus notabilis. RNAcentral's name for it is "Bacterial small subunit ribosomal RNA". It matches the Rfam family "Bacterial small subunit ribosomal RNA", at positions 1295 to 1489 of the family's 1533-position model. Lineage: Eukaryota; Viridiplantae; Streptophyta; Magnoliopsida; Rosales; Moraceae. The record is from Rfam by way of RNAcentral.